This 772-nucleotide ribosomal RNA is filed under the name uncultured Streptococcaceae bacterium. RNAcentral describes it as "bacterial SSU rRNA". It matches the Rfam family "Bacterial small subunit ribosomal RNA", at positions 77 to 837 of the family's 1533-position model. The record is from RNAcentral. Lineage: Bacteria; Bacillati; Bacillota; Bacilli; Lactobacillales; Streptococcaceae.
CUACACCGUAUUCUGUGAGUUGCGAACGGGUGAGUAACGCGUAGGUAACCUGCCUGGUAGCGGGGGAUAACUAUUGGAAACGAUAGCUAAUACCGCAUAAGAACAUUUACUGCAUGGUAGAUGUUUAAAAGGUGCAAAAGCAUCACUACCAGAUGGACCUGCGUUGUAUUAGCUAGUUGGUGAGGUAACGGCUCACCAAGGCAACGAUACAUAGCCGACCUGAGAGGGUGAUCGGCCACACUGGGACUGAGACACGGCCCAGACUCCUACGGGAGGCAGCAGUAGGGAAUCUUCGGCAAUGGGGGGAACCCUGACCGAGCAACGCCGCGUGAGUGAAGAAGGUUUUCGGAUCGUAAAGCUCUGUUGUUAAGGAAGAACGUGUGUGAGAGUGGAAAGUUCACACAGUGACGGUACUUAACCAGAAAGGGACGGCUAACUACGUGCCAGCAGCCGCGGUAAUACGUAGGUCCCGAGCGUUGUCCGGAUUUAUUGGGCGUAAAGCGAGCGCAGGCGGUUAGAUAAGUCUGAAGUGAAAGGCAGUGGCUCAACCAUUGUAGGCUUUGGAAACUGUUUAACUUGAGUGCAGAAGGGGAGAGUGGAAUUCCAUGUGUAGCGGUGAAAUGCGUAGAUAUAUGGAGGAACACCGGUGGCGAAAGCGGCUCUCUGGUCUGUAACUGACGCUGAGGCUCGAAAGCGUGGGGAGCGAACAGGAUUAGAUACCCUGGUAGUCCACGCCGUAAACGAUGAGUGCUAGGUGUUAGGUCCUUUCCGG